This 82-nucleotide transfer RNA is filed under the name Aeoliella straminimaris. RNAcentral describes it as "tRNA-Tyr". Lineage: Bacteria; Pseudomonadati; Planctomycetota; Planctomycetia; Pirellulales; Lacipirellulaceae. The record is from RNAcentral.
GCGUCGGCUGGGCAUUGGCGAGCCCCAGUGGUUGUAACCCACCCGCUUUCGAGCUGUGGCGGUUCGACUCCGUCCCGGCGCA